GACCAGGGAAGGCACCCCACGUCUAUGGGGAAAUUAGCCUGAGACUUAGCUUUCAUUAUCACUGUCUCCCAGGGUGUGCUUGUCAAAGAGAUAUUCUGCCAAGCCAGAUUCGGGUGCUCCCAUCUUGCGCAAGUUGGUCACGUGGUCACCCAAUUCUUUGAUGGCUUUCACCUGCUCAUUCAGGGCACUAAUAUACACAUGAUGAUACUUAAUUCUCUCAGAAAACCUUUGGCAAAGACACUGUCUACAUCUUGAAGGCAAGGAAUCUGAAUCUUGAAGAGAUUAAAUGAAUUGUCCAAAGUCACGUGGGGGUUUGGGAGAAGGAAAAUCAUGAACACACAUUCUUCUACUCUGGAGAAGUGGGGAAGGUGACCUGGGAAACCAUAUGAAAGGGAGCAGGAUGGAUUCUAUAAAAUAUAGAGUGUUCAGUGAAAACAACCUGAUGCUCCUCCCAGUACCAUCACAUUUUUCUAGCUGCAUAUCCCUAGGUAAGUCAAUGUCUGAAUUUCAGUUUCCUCACUGUUAAAUGGGAUAAUAAGCUUUACCUUACAGGAUUA
RNAcentral lists this non-coding RNA (557 nucleotides) under Pan troglodytes (chimpanzee). Lineage: Eukaryota; Metazoa; Chordata; Mammalia; Primates; Hominidae. The record is from RNAcentral.